RNAcentral lists this ribosomal RNA (466 nucleotides) under uncultured bacterium. RNAcentral describes it as "bacterial SSU rRNA". It matches the Rfam family "Bacterial small subunit ribosomal RNA", at positions 329 to 792 of the family's 1533-position model. The record is from RNAcentral.
CUCCAGACUCCUACGGGAGGCAGCAGUGAGGAAUAUUGGUCGAUGGGCGGAAGCCUGAACCAGCCAAGUCGCGUGAGGGAAGAAGGCCCUGCGGGUCGCAGACCUCUUUGGACGGGGAGCAAGGCCGCCGACGUGUCGGCGGAAGGAGAGUACCCGUAGAACAAGCAUCGGCUAACUCCGUGCCAGCAGCCGCGGUAAUACGGAGGAUGCGAGCGUUAUCCGGAUUUAUUGGGUUUAAAGGGUGCGUAGGCGGAAGGUUAAGUCAGCGGUAAAAUGUCGGUGCUCAACACCGGCCUGCCGUUGAAACUGGUCUUCUUGAGUGAGCGAGAAGUAUGCGGAAUGCGUGGUGUAGCGGUGAAAUGCAUAGAUAUCACGCAGAACUCCGAUUGCGAAGGCAGCAUACCGGCGCUCAACUGACGCUGAGGCACGAAAGCGUGGGGAUCGAACAGGAUUAGAUACCCGUGUA